This 868-nucleotide ribosomal RNA is filed under the name uncultured archaeon. RNAcentral's name for it is "bacterial SSU rRNA". It matches the Rfam family "Archaeal small subunit ribosomal RNA", at positions 4 to 871 of the family's 1478-position model. The record is from RNAcentral.
CCGGUUGAUCCUGCCAGAGGUUACUGCUAUCGGUGUUCGCCUAAGCCAUGCGAGUCAUAUGUUCUUCGUGAACAUGGCGUACUGCUCAGUAACACGUGGAUAACCUGCCCUUGGGACCGGCAUAACCCCGGGAAACUGGGGAUAAUUCCGGAUACCGCAUAUAUGCUGGAAUGCUUUAUGCGUAAAAUGGAUUCGUCUGCCCAAGGAUGGGUCUGCGGCCUAUCAGGUAGUAGUGGGUGUAAUGUACCUACUAGCCAACGACGGGUACGGGUUGUGAGAGCAAGAGCCCGGAGAUGGAUUCUGAGACAUGAAUCCAGGCCCUACGGGGCGCAGCAGGCGCGAAAACUUUACAAUGCGGGAAACCGUGAUAAGGGGACACCGAGUGCCAGCAUCAUAUGCUGGCUGUCCGGGUGUGUAAAAUACACCCGUUAGCAAGGGCCGGGCAAGACCGGUGCCAGCCGCCGCGGUAACACCGGCGGCCCGAGUGGUGAUCGUGAUUAUUGGGUCUAAAGGGUCCGUAGCCGGUUUGGUCAGUCCUCCGGGAAAUCUGAUAGCUCAACUAUUAGGCUUUCGGGGGAUACUGCCAGGCUUGGAACCGGGAGAGGUAAGAGGUACUACAGGGGUAGGAGUGAAAUCUUGUAAUCCCUGUGGGACCACCUGUGGCGAAAGCGUCUUACCAGAACGGGUUCGACGGUGAGGGACGAAAGCUGGGGGCACGAACCGGAUUAGAUACCCGGGUAGUCCCAGCCGUAAACGAUGCUCGCUAGGUGUCAGGCAUGGCGCGACCGUGUCUGGUGCCGCAGGGAAGCCGUGAAGCGAGCCACCUGGGAAGUACGGCCGCAAGGCUGAAACUUAAAGGAAUUGGCGG